Molecule: transfer RNA, 83 nt
Filed under: Ignavibacteria bacterium
Lineage: Bacteria; Pseudomonadati; Ignavibacteriota; Ignavibacteria
Description: tRNA-Leu
Rfam family: tRNA
About the family: Transfer RNA (tRNA) molecules are approximately 80 nucleotides in length. Their secondary structure includes four short double-helical elements and three loops (D, anti-codon, and T loops).
Source: RNAcentral
GCCGAAGUGCUGUAACUGGUAGCCAGGCACGCCUCAGAAGCGUGUGCUCAUUGAGCGUGGAGGUUCGAAUCCUCUCUUCGGCA